This 13293-nucleotide long non-coding RNA is filed under the name Populus tremula. RNAcentral's name for it is "long non-coding RNA (PTRE_LNC001147)". The record is from RNAcentral. Lineage: Eukaryota; Viridiplantae; Streptophyta; Magnoliopsida; Malpighiales; Salicaceae.
AAUCCCUGUGGCAAGAUCUCUCCAUAGUUGUCAAAAAAACUAGCUUGCAGCAUCCCCUUGGAGGGUUUCAACCGAAUGGACCAUAAGAACCUAUGUCCACUCCUCUCGAGCCCGAUUGCAAUUUCUUUCAACUGAGCUUCAUCAAAGCCUCCUCCGCUCCCGAAGCACAAGAACACCACUGAUUUUUCAGGUUGAUCAUCAAGCCAUUUCAAGAUCUCGUCACGCUUGACGCCAUCGGAUCCUGACAGACUCUUUCCCUUGUGAUCAAUCAAUGGCCCAACAUUGAAAAUAGGUGGUAUAUCAACUCUAGCCAAAAGAGCACUAACUGCAAGGGACUCAGCUUCUGAAAAUGUAUUAACAAUGAUACCGUUGGAGUCCUUAAACUUUCUUCCAUGGUUUGCAAAAGCCUCAUAUUCCACAUCGAUGUGCAAUAACGGCAAAAGACGGUAAGGCACGGGAUUUGAAUAAGAGGGGAUGAUAUAGUGUCAGUAGGGCUAAACUUAGGCUCACCCUUGUCUUGUCUAUCUGAAAGGUAAAGCAUCGUGGCAAGAAAGGCAGCAUCAGAAGUGUAAAAAACAUGAGAAGGGACCCCAAGUUCUUUGGCAAUAUCAAUAAAUGCAGUCACUACAAGAUUUAACAGUUUUACUGAUGGAAUUUCCGUCAGUGUAAGACACAUAUUCCAUCGGUAAUUAAUUUACCGACGACAUGACCGACGAAGAAUUUCUGUCGGUGAAUCUUUAUGAUUACAUAUCUGAUAAUCAAUGUUUUGCAGGUAUGAGAUGCAGGAUCUGCAUGUUUCUGAGACCCUUCCUCAAAUGGUUGCUCUCUCUGAGGCAUACCUGCAGAUAUAUGAGCAGCAGCAGUAGCACUGGAGUUUAGAAGUCCUAUUGUCAACAUGUUGUCAUACUGUUUUUGGGUACAAGUAACACAAGAGUCUUACCUUCUGUAAAUGGUUGAGGAAAAAUCGGAAUAUGAUGGAACCAUUGCUUGACUGGCACUUGGCAGAUUUACUAAGCUUAGAAAAACAUUGAGGUUUUGUAGAAAAAAGGCAGUGCUUUGUCUGUUUCAUACCAUUAAAAGGAUGAACAGUUUUGUUACUAAAAAACUUUCCAUCUAUUGUAGCAGAGCAGGAAACUUAAAUAAUGCGGUGAUGAUUGACUUAGGUGAUUCAGACAGUGACUUCGGUUUGGUUGUCAUGCUUUGUGUACAACUUUGAUCUGUAGGGAUAAAAAAUGAUAUGCUAGGCUUUGGUUUGUUCAUUGUUACCGAGUUCUCAUGGCAGUAAUGUCAUGAAAAGCAGUAUUCGUAGGCUUCUCUUGUUUUAUUGUCGACACUUCAUUGCCUGGAUUUCUUUCUGCUAGUAUUUUUCUUACAGUGAUGUGGUGGAUUGUAUUCUGUUUCGUAUUGUUGUGAUUUUUUGAAGUGCAGCAGUUUCUACUUGAAAAAAGUGUUAAUGCAAACAGAUUUACCAGAGACAGAGACAGCCUGAAUUGAAGGUAUGUAUGCGUCCUAUCAAAUACACACAGCCCUGCUUGAAUGGUAUGUGUGCCUCCUUUCAGAUAAAGUAGUCCAGCACACGGGGAAGCCCUAAUAUUAAAUGGAGUGCUCAGUGAUGGAGAUUGCAAGCAAUGCCCUCGGUAGGGAAGUCACUGAAUGGAGGCCACGAGCCAGCAACCGAGACUUGAUCCCCGAGUUUUUGUCGGGACGGAGACAGUAAAGAUCCCCCCUUGAUUCAUAGCCACUUUCUAAAGGUUUCAAGUUGAGACUUGAUCUCCUGGUUUUGGACAUCGCUCUUUGGAGGUAUAAAACUAGUAUAAAUGUAAUAAUGUUUUUUUUUUUUGGUAUGAUUAAAUUUUGGAUUGGAUUUGAUUUAAAUAAAAACUUAACUCACAUUAAAUUAUUCAAUAAAUCUUAACUAACACAUCGAGGAAUCUAGAUUAUUUAAUUUGCAAUGAACCAUUUCGAUCCUUGUAUUUUCUCUCUAAAUGAUAAAAAUGAUAAAGGAGAGGCAUCAAACAAUUAUCACCUCCACAUAUUUUUAUUUGAAGUGUAUAUUAACGAGUUGGGGUGAGCAAAAAACCGAGAAAUCAAGAAAACUAAAAAAAAAAUAACUGAAAAAAUCGAAUCGUGAAAAAAAAAAAACUGAUUAAAUUUUUUAAAAAACUGACCGGUUUGGUAUUGGUUUUAUAAGCCUAAAACCAAAUCGAAUCGAAAAAAAUCGAGCCAAACCGGAAAAAAUCGAGCCAAAUUGGAAAACUGAGCCAAACUGAAAAAAACCGGCCGGUUCGAACCGGUUUCAGUUCGGUUUCGAUUUUUUUCUUAAUUUUUUUUUUAUUUGGUUACUUUUUUGAUAAAAACCAAACCGAAUCAAACCGAAUUUGAUAACCCCUAUUAAUAAGACUGGCAUUCCCUUCAUUAGUAGCCAUACUAUUAGAGAAUGAGGAAGUGUUGUCUGCAGUAAAUAAUGUAUCAGCAAAUGGUGCCAAGUGUAGAAGCAACAUUAAAUAGAUGAAACAAUUAUGUCAAGUCAUUUUAUUGAUUCUUAUUUUUAAAGUAUAAAGAACUUUCUUCAAUUAGACGCUCUUGAUAUAAACAAUUUUUUAGGAGGAUGGUAGCAUUUAUAUUCCUUUUGUGUUGCAGAAUAUCCCAAAAAAACACACUUAACGAAUCAAGCUUGUUACUGAUGUGAAAUUUGUAUAUGAACAAAACAAGUGUAACUAAACAUUUAUAAAUAAGAUAAAUUAGAUGGUUGUUUCUGCAAAACUUCAAGAAAAGAUUUAAAAUGUAAUACUUGACUAAGUAACUGAUUGAUUAGAUAUGCAACACAUAACACUUUGUGAGACCAAAAUAUUUUAGAAACAUGCAUGUGUAUCUCUAGUUAUUUUUUCAUAAGUCUUUGUUUUUACAUUCAGCUGCCUCAUUUUUAUUGUGGUAUGCCAACACAGCUGGAACAGACCCUUCGAUGUUGUUUUCCGAAUGGAUUAUAAGAACUUUUGUGCACUCUAUUCGAGCCCAUUUGCUAUGUCUUUCAAUUGAGGUUCACUAAAGCAUGUGGUUUGCUAACUUAAUUGCUGACACAAGAUGACCAUGUUUUGCUGCAAGAAUUAACACUAGCUGUGGUUUCUUGAAGAAACUUUCUUCAUUCCAAUAAUAACGGUAGGAAAAAGGUGAAUGUUAAGUUUGUCGGUAUAAGACCCAAUCUAGUUUGACACGUUAAUUUAAUGACUCAUUUAUUCAAAGUUUGGCUUGGUGGGUUAACGUGAUGACUAGGUCAACACAAUGACCCACUGACUCAGAGCUUGGCUUGGCCAAGUGACUGAAAAAUCAAAUAUAUAUAUUUUUUUUUAUCAAAACAACGAUGUUGUUUAAGUUUUUUUUUUUUGUUAAAAAAAAAAGCUUGGGAUGAAUUGAAUCAAACCCAUCAAUCUACAACCCCACCUUGCGUAGAGUAGACUCCUCGGUCAGGUAUUAUAAUUAUGGUUAUGUGUGAACUAUAAAAUAGAAAGAAAUGACAAGUUGAUCUCUCUUAAGAGAAAAGGAAGAUGAAUUGCCUCCGGUAGUAAAGAAUUAAUGUCUAACUUAUAUAGGUGCGUUAGUUGUGGAUUUUUCAUUGGAAAGAAAUGACAAGUUGAUCUUUCUUGAGAGAAAAUGAAGAUGAAUUGCCUACGAUAGUGAAGAAUUCAUGUCUAACUUAUAUAGGUGCGUUAGUUGUGGUUUUUCAUGAUUAAAUUAUGUGGAUUGUUUAACAGAGUUAUUUACCAAUCAAUAAGACAUGGUUAAGUUCAAAAAGAGGUUUGGAUUGAGCAGCGUGCUCGGUCUGAUAAAAAAUCCCAUAAUUUUUUAUAUAUUCUUUUAAUCACUCUCAAAUUUAGUUAGGAAAUUCCAAAGAUGGAGACCCAAAAGCCUUUAAAUUAGGCUUAGAAGGAGCUCAUCAAGUUAGUUUUGUUAUUUUUUUUUAAUUAUUUUGGAUUUUUAGUUUGGUUAGAACUUUUAUUGCUUGGUAUUUUAUGAUUAGGACUUUAGUUUCAUUUCUUGAGUACGUCAAUUUUUUAGAUUUAUUUAAAUAAUUAUAAAUAUAUUAAAAGAUACAAAAUAUUAAAGAGAAAAUAUGCAGUAAUAAAUUUUUAAAUUAAAAUUUUUAUGUCGUUAUUCUACAAAAUUUAACGGGUUUGUGUUUAUGUUUUUUUUUUUUUUAUCAUUAUUAUCCGGGCCCCGCAUCACUUACUUCCAAAUGAUGGUGUGACAGCUGAAGCCAAUCAGUGAUGAUCUACCGGUGAAGGAAGCAAAUAUCACUUGCUUAGUUGCUUUUGCGUGUGGUCAAGAACAAGAUGCAUAUCCCCUUGCACGUCACUACACAUGUAAGCAAGUUAUUAGUUGAACCAUUUAGGUGGUGCUCCAAUAAUAAAAAUUUAAGACCAAGAGGUUUGUAAUUUUUGUGGUUUCAAGUUCAAAUUCUAGGUUGCUUAUAUGAUGGCUACUGGAGGCUUACAUGGUCGUUAAUUUCAGGACUUGUGGGAUUAGUCGAGGUACGCGCAAACUAGCUCGGACACCCACGUUAAUCUAAAAAAAAAAGUUAGCAUUAGUUUACAAUAUUAAGGUGUACGGCUUUGAUUAAGUUUUAAAUUUGUUUUUUUAAAUUAUUAAUUUAAGUUUAAUAAAUUUUAAGAUUAUUAGAGAUUUAUGUAGUUAUUAAUUUUAAAAUUUAUAAAUUUAAUCAAGAUAUAUACAAAUUAACCAAACACUUAAAAUAAUAAUAAUAAAUUGGCAUUAGCCGGUGUAAUAGAUUUUAAUGCUAUAAAACAAAAGGAAGAAAAGAACAAAAAAAAAAGGUACGGUCAUUUCAUAAGGCCUCAACUUUAAUUAACUUCGUCAGAACUAAUGUUGCAUAGGAAAUAGAUCACUACAACAUGACCAAAUCAAACAAACUAUAUAUAUAUAUAACACACACAUGAUAAUUAAAGACUAUAACUUAAUUUAAUUUGAGGAGAAUGAAAUUAAGCCACGACAGGAAUUAAUCAACAUGGUAAAUAAUAUUGCAAUCAAAGUUAGAGCCUGCAAAUCCAAUCAAACUAAUAUUAACAUCAGAGUUAGAAACAGACAAGGAAAAAAAAGUACCCCUGGCACUAGUUACCAACAAAGAAAAAAGAAUCAGUGAAUUUUUGCAGGAGAUGAACAAGAUAAACAAAGUAACUUACCUGGUGAAGACUAGAAAGAUGCCGUUGUUGUUGUAUUGACUCUGGUUCUCACAAUGGAUGGUGAAAAGGAUGCCGUCGAUGAUGAAAAAAAUUAAAAAGGUGAGGGGCGAGGGCUGUUAUGGAGUAUCGGUUGACAGUGGUUGAUUGUUAGAUCGUGGACGGCUGAGAGAAAAAGAUUAAGAGACCGAGUCACUGAGGAAUCCUCAGUGAGGAUUUAUAAUUUUGGGAUUUUUUAUGUUCUGAACGUGAAUGGUUAAUGUAAAGAGAAGACUGCAUGCAUGAUUGAUGAUUGAGUGAAUUUGUAUUUACUCUGUUAAAGUCAAUACGCGGUCGACACCUGGCAGCCACAUUGCAUUUUUAUUUCCAGCGGCUAAACUCGUUCAAUCGGUGGUGAAAUCACGACUUUACAUAAUUUCACCCGAUUUUAAUGAUUUUACGUAUUUUCGAGUUUUAUAAAUGAUUUAGCACGUAAAGCCUAUAUUAACUCGUAAAAACGUAUGAUUUUACGAGUUGAAUCGCGAUUUUAACAACCUUGGUUAUAUGUCUUAUGGAAAUAAAAACUAAAAUCAUCAAAUUUAAUUUAAGAAAAUAAUAACUUACAAAAGAAAAUGGUUUAAUGAACUUAUCAAUUCUCAGUCGUAGUGAAUUUGCUGGCUUCGAUUCCCUACAUUGGAGUGUGAUUAUCGUGUGAAACGCUCGAACAUCACAUGAUAAAUAUAUCCCAUCUAUAUAUUUUCCGGGAUGUAUGACGGCUUGAAAUCCUUCUAAACCACCACGUCAUUCCAACCAGACAAAGCCUUUUUCCUAGCAUAAAUAUUUCUAAACUAUCCAUCAAGUUUCAGGUAUUUAUAUAGAUAUCUAUUAUCUAUUAUUAUUUAUUAAUUAAUAAAAAAUAAAAUAGUAUAUAUGCGUGUGUUUUUUUAAAAAAUAUCAUAUUAUUUUUUUAAAUAUAUUCAAUAAACAAGUAGGCUUCGGUUAAUAUUCAAAAGUCUCAUGUUAAAUUAUUACCCCUGUCCCGCCAUAUUACACAAGUUAUGCACAACUUUUUUUCUUUCUCCUCGUCCUUUAUCUUUUUGCUUAUUGCCGUAGCUUGUCGAUCCCUCUCGAUCAAAUUUACAAGCACCCGUCCCUUUUAAAAUAAUCAUCUUUUCUUUAAAUUAAAUUUAGGUUGUAGCUAAACAAAUUAAGUUUUAAAUUUAAUUUUAGAGAUUAUUAAUUCAAGUUUAAUAAAUUUUAGAAUAAUUAAAAAUUUAUAUAAUUAUUAAUUUUAUAAUUUAUAAAAUUAGUUGAAAUAUAAAUAAAUUGAUCGGAAUACUCAUAUUAAAAAUAAAUAACAUUAGUUGAUGUGAUAUAUUUUAAUACUAUCAAAAGGAAGAAAAGAAAAAAAAAAUACAGUCAUUCCAUGAGACCUCGACUUUAAUUAACUUCAUCAGAACUAAUGUUGGAUAGGAAAUAGAUCACUGCAACAUGACCAAAUCAAACAAACUAUACAUAUGAUAAUUAAAGACUAUAACUUAAUUUAAUUUGAGGAAUGAAAUUAAGCCACAGUAGGAAUUGAUGAUCAUUGAUGGAAUCAACAUGGUAGAUAAGGCGUAAACUCUUCAAGGUUUGCUUCCUAACCAUUGAUCAAUCAAGUUUCCAAAAGCAACAUACGAAGAUCCACCCUCCACCACAGCUUUCUUCGCCAUUUCACUGGUUUCUGUGGCCUUGUUCCUCAGUUCACCACCUUGUUCCAUCAUGGUUUUCACAGCUUUUGUUAUCACCUCCGCCUUGACAAAAUCUGUAGGGCAAUCUCUCCUAAAAUCCAACGUCAAUUCCACAGCUAAUCCCAAGUCUUUCACCAGCUGAAAUGCAUUCAUGUGUUGCUCAGCAUAUAAUGGCCAAGUUAUAAUAGGCACCGCAUGCCACAAGGCCUCCAAAGUUGAGUUCCAUCCACAGUGUGAUACGAAAGCGCCUACUGCUUUAUGUGCCAAGAUUUCUACCUGUGGUGCCCAUCCACAUAGCAUCCCAACGUUUUUAGUUCUUUCCCAGAAUCCCUGUGGCAAGAUCUCUUCAUAGUUGUCAAAAAAACUAGCUUGCAGCAUCCCCUUGGACGGUUUCAACCGAAUGGACCAUAAGAACCUAUGUCCACUCCUCUCGAGCCCGAUUGCAAUUUCUUUCAACUGAGCUUCAUCAAAGCCUCCUCCGCUCCCGAAGCACAAGAACACCACUGAUUUUUCAGGUUGAUCAUCAAGCCAUUUCAAGAUCUCGUCACGCUUGACGGCAUCGGAUCCUGACAGACUCUUUCCCUUGUGAUCAAUCAAUGGCCCAACAUUGAAAAUAGGUGGUAUAUCAUCUCUAGCCAAAAGAGCACUAACUGCAUGGGACUCAGCUUCUGAAAAUGUAUUAACAAUGAUACCGUUGGAGUCCUUAAACUUUCUUCCAUGGUUUGCAAAAGUCUCGUAUUCCACAUCGGUGUGCAAUAACGACAUGACACGGUAAGGCACGGGAUUUGAAAACAGGGGAUGAUAUAGUCAGGGUCAGUAGGGCUAAACUUAGGCUCACCCUUGUCUUGUCUAUCUGAAAGGUAAAGCGUCAUGGCAAGAAAGGCAGCAUCAGAAGUGUAAAAAACAUGAGAAGGGACCCCAAGUUCUUUGGAAACAUCAAUAAAGGCAGUGCAGAACAUAUCAACAACAACACUAGCAAUUGGUGCAGGGUUGUGGGCCAUGACUUGGUUAACAAUAGUAUCUUUUACAAGGGUUUUGUGAUCAUUGAUGUAAGAAGUAUAAGCACUUGCAGGGCUUACAGCUAAAGCUUCUGUAGGAAGUGCAGGUAUGGUCUCAGGAAUUUCGAUGAACCUGAUUUCUGUAUGAAUUGAAGCAAGCGAUUCGCUGUUCUUGCUUGUGCCACCGUAAAUUGGAUUGUGGAUGGCAAGCAUGGUUAUCAAGAAACUGUCGUUUCUCUCAAGAACCAUCUUUGCUAACUGAACAGCUGAUACAAGGUGGCCAAAUCCAGGUGCAGGGACAAAGACGAGCUGUGUUUUCUUCAUUUUGGAGGUUUUGAAUGUUCAAUGUGGUGAUCCUUGUUUGCCUUAUAAUGGGCUCAAGGUUAAUGCCACAAUGCCAGCUGUUAUGGAUUUUUUUUUCUAAAUUAAUCAUGAUCAAAUUGGAUGUGACAAAUAUUACAAAGAUUGAUUUCAUAGAAAAAUUUUCUUGUAAUAUUUUUAAACAAUUCAAAUUAAAUAAAAAAAUAUAAAUAUAAAAUAAAAUAAAGGUAGGGUUUCAUUAAUCAUUUUAUUCUUAAAUUAUAUUUUUAAUCUAAAUAUAAAAAAAUUAUAUAUAGACUAAACUAAAUUAUAAAUAAAUAAAAUAAAUAUAUUUUUUAACAACAUUAAUCUAUCCCGUAAGAUAUAAAUAAUUUAAUAUGAUAAUUUAAUUAAGUAUCACUUGAUUAAAAUAUAUUUUAAAAAUUAAAGAUUAGAUUAUAAUUAAUACAAGCAUUAUAUAUAUUUCUAGAUCUAGAAAAAUCAAGUAAGAAUUUAAUUGAUUAAAUUUCUAAAAUUACCCUUAUAUAGUAUAUGGAUAUUAUUUAAGAGAAAAUAAAUAUAUGUUGUCAUUUAUACGGUUUUAGGAUUUCUUAUAAAUAUAAAACUAAACCUAUUAUUUUGUAAGUAAAAAAUAAUGAUUGUCUGUUAAAUAGAAAAAUUACGUAAAAACAAUAUUAAAACUAACACUUUAUACAUAACAAUCUAUCCUUUCUAAAUUGAAAUUUAUAAGUUUUUUCACGGGUAGUUUGUGUGGAUUAUCAUUAGAGAUCAGGUAAUAAAAUUAUUUAUAGUUUAUGACAAUCUAAUCUUUUAAAAAAUAAUUUAAAAUAAAAAAAUAUUUAAAUAAUAAAUUUCUAAAUAAUUUUAAAUUUAAUCUAAUAUGAUAUAAGAAAUAAAAUCCUGUUAGUGCGAGUUUGUGUGUAUUGACAACUUAAUAUAUCCAGUCAUGCGAAUUAUUUGUAGUUGUUAACUUUUUAUGGUUUCAAAUUGAGGAAGGACGUAGUUUUUAAUGUCAACAACAAUGAUUGAUUGUGAUUGCAUUUAAUAGCUAGACAGUUACAUGGCUAUAAAGAAUCUAAAGAUAUAAUAUAUAUACAUGAUGAUAUUCUAUUUAAAUUUAUUAAAUGGAAAUUUCGUAGGAAUUGCUGAAGUGUUAAAUUGUGGAUGAAGUUUUUUAUGAAUUUUUAUUUUUAUAUUAUUCUAUUGUACUUUUCAUCAUUGGUAGUUAUUUAUGAAAAAUAUUAUAUCACAAUUUAUAUCAAAAUUAUUGACACAAAAAUUCUAUCACUAUUAUCUUCUAAAAUUAUUGAUGAAAAUUUUUUCAUUUGCAUUUCUGAUUUUAUUUAUUAAUUUUCUGGUAAUAAAAAUAAUAAUAAUCUUAUGCUCAGGUUUAUAAUCCUAUAAUUAAAAAAAAUAGUAUCCAUACCAGAAAUUGAAACUUAAAAAAAGAUUAAACCUUCCAUUUUUAAAUUAUAUGAAAUGUUGAUAAUACAACUAAUCAAACAUAAACUAACAAUCAUUUAAACAAAAAUUAAGAAUUGAUGGUAUAAUUCUAUAAAUUAAUUUUUAAAAUUACAUUUUAUAAAUUUUUAUCAAGUAAUUCUACUAUCAAUUCCUAAAAUCUAACAAUCAUUUAAACAAAAUUUAAGAAUUGAUGAUAUAAUUACUUGGUAAAAUUUUAUAAAAAUAAGCAAACUUUCCUAAUAAUCAUAUAUACUCAUCCUUCUUAUUAAAUGGCAUUUAAAAGUCUAAAAUAAAGAAUACCUACAUCUAGCUAAAACAAAAUUCAGGAUUCUUCUACAAUAAAAACGCUAUGGCGCAUCAUAAACGAAAAAUCCAAACCAACACGAUCAAAUAUAUAUAUAUAUAUCAUGUAAUGACACAUAAACUUUCAAGUCAAAAUAUUAUAUUUUGAAGAGUGAAAAUACAAACAAUGUUAGUCAAUCUAAAGCUAUCACAUGCCCAACUAUUCUAAUGGCGCUAAUUUUCAACUACUAAUUAAAAACAAAAUACUAAAAAUUAUAUAUUUUAUAUUUUUAAAUCAAUUUAUAUAUUAAUUAAAAUAAAGUAUACAAUAUUAAAAUUAUUCAAAAUGUUAGACUCACAUCAUGCAUAAACUCAUAUGAGCUUAUCUUUUAAUGUAUCAUGAAUGAUUUUAUUGGUGUGGGUUUUUUAUAUAUAUAAUCCUGAAUAUUUAAACUAUUUACCUCAAUUAUUUUCUUAAAAUUCUAAAUUUUACCAACCAUGUAAUGUAUUGAUGGGGAAGGCAGUGAGGUGACUGUUUCUGGAGGGACGGGUGCUAGUGAAUUGGAUAGUGAGGGGUCGACAAGCCAUGGCCAUAAGCAAAAAGAUAAAGGACGAGGAGAGGGAGAAAAAGUUGUGCAUAAUUUGUGCAACAUGUGAUGGUGGAACAGGGAUAAUAAUCAUAUUAUAUCUGUGUGUGUUUUUAAAAAAAUAUCGUAUUAUUUUUUUAAAAUAUAUUCAAUAAAUAAGUAGGCUUCGGUUAAUAUACAAAGUCUCAUGUUAAAUUAUUAUACCUGUCCCACCAUUUUACACAAAUUAUGCACAACUUUUUUUCUUUCUCCUCGUCUUUUAUAUUUUUGCUUAUUGCCGUGGCUUGUCGAUCCCUCACGGUUCAAUUUACAAGUACCCAUCCCUUUCAAAACAGUCAUUUUAAAUUCAGCAAGGGUAAGUUAAACUAAUUAAAAGUUAUUGGUUUUAAUUUUAUAAAUAUCAUGAUCGUAUAAUUAUUAAUUUUAAAAUUUUUAAGAAUUAAUCAAUAUACAUACAAGUUAGUCUAUUGGUUUGAAUUUUAUAAAUAUCAGGAUCGUAUAAUUAUUAAUUUUAAAAUUUUUAAGAAUUAAUCAAGAUAUAUACAAGCUGGUCUAAACAUCAAUAUUAAUAAUUAAAAAAUAACAUUAGUUGGUGUGCUAGAUUUUAAUUCUAUAAUGUCUGCGAACAAGAAGGAGAAUGUCUGCGAACAAGAAGGAGUACGAAUGCUGGUCUUGAAGAAAGCAUAGGAACAAUUAACAGUUCCACAACAGUGGAUGUCAGGGAACCAAGGAUCUCCAUAGCCAAUGUUCUGUCUUUGUUUAGCAGCCAAACCACAAGUUUUGGAUGAUCACUACUGCGUAUUUGAAAAACUAUGGAGAUGGAUGUAGCAGAUAAAAUGAUUGAAAGAAUUUGCUUAGAGCAACUACAGAGAGACAGAGAGGCUAGGUUAGUUUGUGAAGUCAAGUCAAGCAAUUAUAUUCAAGUAAAUAUGACCCUAAUGACAUAUUCUAUUAAUUCAUUAAUAAAUUAUAUUGUAAGUGAUUAAAUAUUUAUAUUUAAGAAUUUUUAUAUAUUAAAUAAAUUUUUUAAAAAAAUUAAUUCAUUAAUAAAUUAUUUUCCAGUUUAUUUUUCAUUACACUACCAAACAUCAAAAAAUAUUUUUCCGGAAUUUAUUUUUUUCUGGAAUUCACUUUCUAAAAAAAAAUUACUUUUCUGCAAUGCUUUAAUUUAAUUUUAAUUUGAGGAAUGAAAUUAAGCCACAGUAGGAAUUGAUGAUCAUUGAUGGAAUCAACAUGUUAGAAAAGCCUAAGCUCUUCAAGGUUUGCCUCCUAGCCAUUGAUCAAUCAAGUUUCCAAAAGCAACAUACGAAGAUCCACCCUCCACCACAGCUUUCUUCGCCAUUUCACUGGUUUCUUUGGCCUUGUUCCUCAGUUCACCACCUUGUUCCAUCAUGGUUUUCACAGCUUUUGUUAUCACCUCCGCCUUGACAAAAUCUGUAGGACAAUCUCUCCUAAAAUCCAACGUCAAUUCCACUGCUAAUCCCAAGUCUUUCACCAGCUGAAAUGCAUUCACGUGUUGCUCAGAAUAUAAUGGCCAGGUUAUAAUAGGCACCGCAUACCACAAGGCCUCCAAAGUAGAGUUCCAUCCACAGUGUGAUACGAAAGCGCCUACUGCUUUAUGUGCCAAGAUUUCUACUUGUGGUGCCCAUCCACAUAGCAUCCCAAUGUUUUUAGUUCUUUCCAAGAAUCCCUGUGGCAAGAUCUCUCCAUAGUUGUCAAAAAAACUAGCUUGCAGCUUCCCCUUGGAGGGUUUCAACCGGAUGGACCACAAGAACCUAUGUCCACUCCUCUCGAGCCCGAUUGCAAUUUCUUUCAACUGAGCUUCAUCAAAGCUUCCUCCACUCCCAAAGCACAAGAACACCACUGAUUUUUCAGGUUGAUCAUCAAGCCAUUUCAAGAUCUCGUCACGCUUGACGGCAUCGGAUCCUGACAGACUCUUUCCCUUGUGAUCAAUCAAUGGCCCAACAUUGAAAAUUGGUGGUAUAUCAUCUCUAGCCAAAAGAGCACUAACUGCAUGGGACUCAGCUUCUGAAAAUGUAUUAACAAUGAUACCGUCGGAGUCCUUAAACUCUCUUCCAUGGUUUGCAAAAGCCUCAUAUUCCACAUCGAUGUGCAAUAACGGCAAAAGACGGUAAGGCACGGGAUUUGAAAACAGGGGAUGAUAUAGUCAGGGUCAGUAGGGCUAAACUUAGGCUCACCCUUGUCUUCUCUAUCUGAAAGGUAAAGCAUCGUGGCAAGAAAGGCAGCAUCAGAAGUGUAAAAAACAUGAGAAGGGACCCCAAGUUCUUUGGCAACAUCAAUAAAGGCAGUGCAGAACAUAUCAACAACAACACUAGCAAUUGGUGCAGGGUUGUGGGCCAUGACUUGGUUAACAAUAGUAUCUUUCACAAGGGUUUUGUGAUCAAUGAAAUAAGAAGUAUAAGCACUUGCAGGGCUUACGGCUAAAGCUUCUGGAGGAGGGGCAGGUAUGGUCUCAGGAAUUUCGAUGAACCUGAUUUCUGUAUGAAUUGAAGCAAGCGAUUCGGUGUUCUUGCUUGUGCCACCGUAAAUUGGAUUGUGGAUGGCAAGCAUGGUUAUCAAGAAACUGUCGUUUCUCUCAAGAACCAUCUUUGCUAACUGAACAGCUGAUACAAGGUGGCCAAAUCCAGGUGCAGGGACAAAGACUAGCUGUGUUUUCUUCAUUUUGGAGGUUUUGAAUGUUCAAUGUGGUGAUCCUUGUUUGCCUUAUAAUGGGCUCAAG